UAUUACCUCCGGUGCACGGUGGAUCGGUCGGUCGGUCCACAGAGCCAGGAUGCAGUCCACAGGAAUAGUUACGCGGUCCACAGGUGCGGCUCAUAGCGAGAGAAAGAUCUGGGCGUGAUCCAACGACUGAGAUUCAAUCCGACCCAGAUCCGACGGUUCAGACUCGUUGCCGACUUUGAAUAGGACUCUUUUGCACGAUCCGACGGCCAGAACUUCAUCAGAACCC
RNAcentral lists this long non-coding RNA (226 nucleotides) under Elaeis guineensis (African oil palm). Its description in RNAcentral is "long non-coding RNA (EGUI_LNC073107)". The record is from RNAcentral. Lineage: Eukaryota; Viridiplantae; Streptophyta; Magnoliopsida; Arecales; Arecaceae.